GUCCUAUGAAGACUGCAAGACCUACCGAUAGGAAUUGCCAUUUGACACUAUAACCAUCAGUUGGCUCUCUCAGUUACAUGUGUCCAUCCAACCACAACCUUUGCGGUUUGGUCCGUGAUGAAGCUCACGCAUGUUGUUGUUUGAUUCAUCUGUGGUGUAAUUUAAAGUGGGUCUCUAAGGGAU
Zea mays is the source of this 183-nucleotide non-coding RNA. Lineage: Eukaryota; Viridiplantae; Streptophyta; Magnoliopsida; Poales; Poaceae. The record is from Rfam.